RNAcentral lists this non-coding RNA (122 nucleotides) under Clostridium autoethanogenum. RNAcentral's name for it is "SAM-I sequence". It matches the Rfam family "SAM riboswitch aptamer (S box leader)". From Rfam's summary of the family: The SAM riboswitch is found upstream of a number of genes which code for proteins involved in methionine or cysteine biosynthesis in Gram-positive bacteria. Lineage: Bacteria; Bacillati; Bacillota; Clostridia; Eubacteriales; Clostridiaceae. The record is from RNAcentral.
UCCUUAUCAAGAGAAACUUAGGGACUGGCCCUAUGAAGUUUCAGCAACCUCAUGUUUUUCCUAUGCGUAAACAUGUAAAGGUGCUAAUUCCAGCAGAUCAUAAUAAUUCUGAAAGAUGAGGG